AAACCUGAGGGGACGGCUUUCCACAAAUAUGGCAGAUCCUGGAGGAAGGAAAUAAGCGGUUAGAAAAGAAUUUUGUCACAAAAACAUGAUAGUUCAGUAUAUUUACCAUACUCAAAAUACUUUAGAAUAAUAUACUUAUUACAGAACUUUGCGGGGAACCCACUUUACAUUUCAGAAGAAAGUUUUCUCCUUCAGCCCCAUAGAAAAUAUCUCCUGUGGCCCACAAGCAAAAAUAUUUGGCAGAAUUUUAUAGAAAUGCUUUUACUUGAAAGCUGUAUUUUGGUUUUGAUUUUGGACAUGGAGACAUUUUCUUAAUUAAGGUAAACCAGCCUUGCUACAGUAUCCUUCCACAUCCAUUUCACUUCCAAUUCCAAGUCGAUUCUCUCUAGCUCAGAGAUAAUUAAAUCUUAAAGACUACAGUUGAGGGUCAGGGCACUGGAGAGACAGCUCAAUGGUUAUGAGCACAGGCUGCUCUUCCAGAGGACCUGGGUUCUAUUCCCAGCAACCACAUGAUCAUGACCACUCACAAAGCAUCUGUAACUCUAAUUCUAGGGAAUAAGUCGAAGUUAUAUCUCACCAAACUUUUGGGGGUUUGUUUUGGUGUUUUUGUUGUUGUUGCUGUUGUCGGCUUGUUUUGUUUUGGGAGGGUUGUUUUGUUUGUCUGUUUGGCCCUUUUGUUUGUAGUACUUUAGCAUUUUCUGGUUUUAUUUCAAAGACCUGAUCCUAGGUUGCAGCAACAGAACGUCCUCAUUUCUUAGUUUUUCCUAGGGGGGUGUUGGCCUGAAUUCAGUAUACCGGUGGCUUUCCUUUCCCCCAUCGGCUCCUUGGGGCACUAGCUGUCUGUGUGUGAGGGUAUGAAUGUGACCAAAGACACAACUAACCAUGAAGGGCAGUGCCACCUCGCCUCCCUCUGUAACUGUCAUGGUGGCAGAAUUUUCCCAGGGUUUCUGACACCUUAAAGUUUCACUAGGAAAAGGGAGCACAAGCAUUUGUGGGGUACAUUCUUCAGAUACUUUGCUGUUGGAGGGAGACGAUUAAGAGUGCGUGUGGCAUAGUAUUUGAAUUGGAUUGACUUCUUUUGAGUGUAAGUCAUAGUUGGGAGAAGAGCAAAGAUCACUUAUUAGACCCAUUCACUCAGGACUGCAAUAGAAACAGCCCAUGGGAUACGUUUUAAGGGUAAGACUAAUAAACGUUAUAGUUAGUGUCUCUACUGACCAAAUUGCUUGCCUAUUGGGGGAGGGGAACCCCUGAUAAGAACAUCUAGAGUUCAAAGAAUACAACUGGGUGACAGUGGCUGGGGUUUUUUUUUUUCCCUUGAAAAUCUUUGGCCUUUAUCCUUUUGUCACUCUCUCAGUCCUGCCACCGGAAGUCUUUGGCUGGGUGAACUUGAAACUUUCAGCCUCCGAACCCUGUAGUAUGAAUGUCCUGAUUUUCUAUCAAAUGAUGUAACUCCCAAAGGCUUCGCAAAGGAGUCAACUUCAUCUAGUAAAACAGAGAGAACUACCGUGCAGCUGGAUCACUUCUUCAGACUGUCUCCACUGCCCAAGACAGGCAACAUCUGUCUUGUUUUGCCGAGUUGCGAAUGGAACCCAGAGCCGGAAGUGUGCUAAGCCUGUGCUCUCAACAUUAAGCUGUGGCACCAGCCCCCAACAAGAGCUUACAGGAAAGUCCCAUUGUCCUCUCUUCCUCACAAACCAGAACCUAGGGCUCAGGAAAUCUCUAGAAUGGCAUUUUCUAUAUCACCAGUCUUAGAGAAACAGCGUAUGGCUUCGUAAUCUCACUCUUGCCACCAAAGCACCGAUAAAGCCAUUGACUACAGGAUGUGUGUCAUCACCAACAUUAGACUAGUUCAUCUAAGAGAGGUCACAUAGAAACCUAUUCACUGCUGUGCUACUGUCUCCCGCUCGUUGUACAAACAAGGGCUGUUCAGUCUCAUGGUAUCUGACUAAUUUUGGGUGGACAAAUGGGGGUUGAGGGAGGGGAAUUGAACCCAUGGUUUUGAACAUGUCAAGCAUACUUUGCUAAGCCCCAAGUCCCUUCUGCCUAGUUUGGCCAUGUUGAAUCAAAUAUGAAAGACUAGAUAGAGACUCUCUCCUAACCUGAAAGUUUGGUGGGAAUGGUCUGUUUUAGGGUUGGUCUCUAGAGGCCCAGCGCUAUCCUCAGUGCUCCCCUGGAGGGAGUUGGGGUGGGGGAAGCACUUGGUAAAUGAAGAAAGAGUCUAAGGACUGCUUCUCUGGUUACGGAGAGACCACAGCCUGGAGCAGUACUCAGUACUUUGCCUGUGUUAUUUAACUUUGUCCACAAAGCAACUGCCAGAAAUAGAUAUUAACAGCUUCGUUUUUUACUCUCUGAGGCUCAGAGUUUAAAGAUGAGAGACUGGGUUGGAAUUUAAAUUAAGGUCCCUGACAUAAAAUUCAUGUCCUUCACCAAGACAUUCAUGGCUUUCCCCGAAGUGAUUUUUGCCCCACAUAAGUUACAAGCAACGUGGGAAACUCUCUGACUUUACCUCAGCUCUUCCUCCAGAUCAGCUUGCUUUGCUCUUGGCCCUGGGGCCUGGCCCUCAGGAUUAUUCAGCCAGCUGCCUGCUUGCAGGAAUACCGGAGGAAAGGGAGCAGGAAGUGUCCUCCCUACCCCACCCCAGCCCUUCUGAUAGCAGCUUUCUUCUCCUAGAACUUGCCUUUUCAAAGUGGGGGCAAUACAGAUCAAGAUUGGUCUGGAUUUGGGGUGGGUAAAAGAUUAGAGAAUGGGUUUUUCUAAAGUAAACAAAUACGGUCAAAUUAAAUAAAAAAUAAGCUUCUGUAGUUGUUAAUUUAUUCCAUUAGAAUUCUAAUCAAAUUUAUUCCUGGGGAUAGGGUGGGUCAGAGAGAAUACAUCAGAAGAUAGGCAGAGCUGUGGAACUCGGAUCCAGAUCAGAUCUCCUUUAGGAUGCUCCCUUAGGAGGAGGCCAGCUCUCAAGAGCUGUGUCCUACUCAUGGUGGCCUAGGGUGACAAAAUUUUUACUUCUUUUUUCUUUAAAGAUUUAUGUAUUUAUUUUAUGUAUGUGAGGACACCAUCCCUUUCUUCAGCCACACCAGAAGAGGGCAUUGGAUUGUGACGGUUGUUGCUGGGAAUUGAACUCAGGACCUCCGGAAGAGCAGCCUGUUUCUGUCAGCGGAUGUUGUAUCCGCAAGGUUCCCGAGACUUCAUCCAUAGACGCAAUCAGCUGGUCUGCCUACUUUCUUCUUCCAGUCAAGCUUUGACUAAAAUAAUACGAAUGCUGAGGACCCUACUGAUUAAGACCUUCAGUUUAGGAGGACAAGACAAAAGGUUUCAACUGCGUUUGAGGCAUACACUUCGAUAAGGCUUGUCAUGUGUACAUCACAAGGUGGGUUGCCUCUGAUAAGAGUGACUAAAAGUGCUCUGGUCCUUGGUGUGACUGUUUUCCUCCUGUCCUCCCUGUCCCUCACCAUUGAUGAGUCAACUCCCUGACACCUUGGGUUAGUUUGCAUUUUCUACUUUUAUGUGAUCUGGCUCUUCUGCUGGGGAUGACUAUUUUGAUAUUCAUCUUUGUUUAUUAUAUGAAUAAAUCAUUCUUUGUACGAAUGGAUUUUUUUCCCCGUUGGAUAAAUAUCUAGCAACGAAAUUGUUCAAAUCAUUUACUAGGCGAGGUUUUUCCUAGCAUUUUGAGACAUUGUCCUCACUUUGUCAUAUUCCUCUGUCUGUCCCACGGGGACAGUACGUGGCAUCCCGGCCUCGAACAUCCUGUCACAAGGAAUGGUUGCUUCAUGUGAGGCAGCAAUUUGUUCCCGCCUCCACAUGAGCAGUUACUAAGGGGCUCCUGUGUUUCUGACAGUGUAAAUACGCUACUCAACAACUGAGAAAAAUAUUAUCCUUUUUGCACCAUACUUCAGUUAUAAUUUGGGAUUGUAUUAUGUAUUUUUUUUAAUGUAUUGUGUGUAACUGUGUGGGUGCAUGAAUGCCUUGGCACACCUAUGGAGAUCAGAGGACAACCCUUAAGAGUUACUUCUCUCCUACAAAGUGGGUCACAGGAUUGGAUUCAAGCUGUGAGGUUUAAGGACAGGCAUAUAUGUUUACCCAUUGGUCUAUUUUGACAGCCCACGGAUUAUGCAUUUUUAGAAAGUCUAUUUUGUGGCCCUUUCAUUUGGAGUCCAGAAAAAAAUGUUACUUUUGGCAAUUUUUCAGUCCAUAAAAUUUUUACUGUUACUUUAAUAUUCCCGGUCUGCUUAUCUGGUAUUAUAUCAUUUUCUACCGUCCCACUGUUUGAAAACAAAUUCUACUGCUCUUGAGGCAUGAUGUCAAAGGUUGAAAUGGGAAAAAGAAUUUAGUAAAAACCCAAUGAGGAUGGGGGUUGGGGAUUUAGCUCAGUGGUAGAGCGCUUGCCUAGGAAGCGCAAGGCCCUGGGUUGGGUUCCCAGCUCUGAAAAAAAGAACCAAAAAAAAAAAAAAAAAAAAAAACCCAAUGAGGAAAAAGGCACCACAGGAAAUAAAUACUAUAACCAUGGUUUGGCUAGGUGCUGACUUUAAUCAUUAUCAAGCUAAUUGGUAGAUAAUGAUAGUGUCUCUUUUUGUCUAAUGUAAUUUGUAUGUAAAUAAGGUGAUGCCCAUUAGUUUCUAUGCGAAGUUGUUACUCAUGGCUCCGAUGACUCUGGACAUUCUAACAUUUAUCCUUCUCACCAUGAUCCUACUUUAGUGUUUCUCCAUAUCAGCUCUCGGAAUUUUCAUUGACUCUUUUCUCCCAAAUAACACUGUCACGUGCUUAAUGGAGGGCAUUGACUUCAUUCCUACUAGGAAAUCUUUUUUCCCCCUCACAUUGCAUAUUUUUAGGGGGAUGGCAGGGACAGUCUUUUCUGGGCAAGUCUUCUCAUGCACAGUAGACUUUGUUUACGGCCUCCCUGGUGGUUAGAUACACAGUAGACAUCAUCCUCACCAGUGGAAUGUGAGAAGUGACAUGUUUCAGAUCCAGGGUGGGGAAGUCAUUCCGCAGCGUGACUCCUUCAGCUCAUUCCGACCAGCAGAAAUGAAGAUGUGGCUGACGUCCAGCAUUUACCGUAAAGAUAAUGAAAAUGUUUUGGAUUUUUUUUUUUUUUUUUUGGCUCUGAAAAACCCUGGUGAGCAGAACUUGACCAGUGACCUGGGUCAUUCAGUUUGGGGCUGCUGUCUGAAACAGAAAUAUACCUUUUAUUCAUGAAGGCCCUGUAGGCACAUUGGUUAUAGAGCCAGGCUUUUAUAGGAGGCUCUGCCUCCCAUGGCUUCCCUUCUUUUCAUUUGCUAGCUUAGUCCUGGUGUUGAUGCCUCUGUAUCACAGCGCUCUCUCUUUCUGGCUUUCCUCUCUCUUUCUAGUAUAUACACACAGACUAGAUUUGUGGUUUCUAUGCCAAACUCCCCUAAUGUUUUGCUAUUUACUGCUGAGUCGUAAAUGUAGACUGUCCAAUAAAUAUUUCUGGGUCCCUGCUAAGAGGACUAGUAUGAUUGAAGGAUUUUUCCUCCCCUCAAAUCUACCUGUUGAAAUCCUUAUCAGUCAUAACCUCUCAUUGGGACCUUAAGCAGGGGAACAGCAUCUUUAAAGAAGUGAUUAAGUUACGAGUUUCUUACGGUGAGCCCUGAUCCUCUGGGACCGUUGCCCUUAUGGAAAGGGCAGGAUUGUCAGUAAGCUGCCUGAACUCUACAGCUGGUGUUGAUGGAGCCUCAUGACUCCAGACCCCAGCAUGGCUGCCACACAGACCUCUCCUACAGCUGCCACCUGAGCACCUGGUGACUUAGUUAUGUCAUCUGGGGAGAAGGAGAGAGAAUGUCUGGCCAAAGGGGAGUCUGCAAUUUGAAGGAAAAUAAGAAAUAAGAAAUGGUAACACAAGCUCUGAAGACAUAUUUAAACUUAAAUAGGGAACCAGUGACUAACACAUAGAGGACAGGCCGACUUGGAAGAAAGAGUCAAUGUUUCCACAGAUGACUCAGGGGUCAAGGCUUGCUUAGAGUCUUGGAGGAGCCCAUAAGAGUUUAUUUUUGAUGCAGAAUAUCACUGUAUAGUCUUGGCUGGCCUGGAACUCACUGUGUAGUCCUGGCUGGCCUAGACCCACCUGCCUCUGCCUCCUCAGUGUUAAACACAUUCAUAGCCAGACCCAGCUUCCACAGUAUUUUUAAGAGGGGAUCUUCCUAAAAGAGGAAAAAGAUCAAUGGUCAGUGUUGAUGUCUUAAAAGAAAAAAAAACAAAACAACAUAAAACAAAGAGAAGAAUAAGACCAUGAGAAAUCUAAUAAGUCUAAUCUAAUAAAUCUAAUAAGAACCAAACAGUUUGAAGGUAGCUUGAUGUAGAUUGGUCAUUAUUCACUGGACAGAGUAACCAAGCACUUGAAAGAAGUCCUUGAUCCCCGAGACAUCUAGGAUCUCUCAGAUGUUAGAGCUGGACAGAUUUACUCUGGUCUUUGAUCAGCACGGGAGUUUUGACUUGCUCCGUUUCUGACCUGGGCCAGUUCUCCCCUCCUUAGGCAACCCGGUGGUCCCCCACUCCUGGGAGGUCACCAUAUUAAUGCCAAACUUAGUGUGAACACCCGAUCAGCAUAGCACACUACAGCCCAGAACUCCUGGACUCAAGCGAUCCUCCUGUCUCAGCCUCCCGAGUAGCUGGGACUACAGGUGUGCACCACAGCACCCGGAUACUCUGGUCUUUGAGUAGUUUCUAAACUAAAGUGACAUAAAUGAGCCUCUGUUCUGCUGUCUCUGUUGUCCCAAGUCCAAAAUGUUGAGCAGACUUUGAUGGCAUAGAUCUCAUGUGCUUGGUUCUAUUUCAAUUACAGCCUCCAUAGUCUUUGAUACCAUAACACAACUUUCUACUGCCUAAAUCCACUGCCAUAGUAGACCAAAAAGAUAGUAACCCUUGCCACGUGCGCUGCUGAUAGAUCUGUGACUUUUUGAGUCUCAACAGUGGGGAACAAGUAGAAGAUAAUGAAGACUAAACAGUGUGACAUCCAAGCAAUGUGGCAUUCAUCAGGAUGGUUCCUAGACACCACCUGUAAUGACUGUUCAUUCAUGGCACUUAAGAGAUUUAGCAGCUGCAAAGGAAGGCCAGAACAUGAGCAUUUACGACAUUGCCCUUUAUUUAUUUAUUUUUUCUUUUUCUUUUUUUCGGAGCUGGGGACCGAACCCAGGGCCUUGCGCUUGCUAGGCAAGCGCUCUACCACUGAGGUAAAUCCCCAACCCCGACAUUGCCCUUUAUUAAGGAUGGCUCAUUGCCUGGAUGCAUGUGGAUAAGUUUUGAGGCUGCACACAGGAUGUUGUUGCAGGUUCCUAGAAGGCUACCUGAAGGAAAUCUGUGGAGUAAAUCUCUCUCCUAAUGGCUACCACAUUUUAAAAUGUUAGUGGUGGCAAUGUCAGCAAAGGACGGGUCCUUUGAUCAUGAUGCUGCCUCUGAACCAUCUCUGCCCAUUAGAAUUCAGUGACUUGUGCCCAGUUUGAGCCUGUCAAGAAAGUGCUUACUCGGUAGUACCUAUGAUAGCAUAUCUAUGAUAUAGACCAACGUAAGCUGCUCUCCACUGAAGAUUGUGUCUGGUUAUAAGAAACAGAGCAGUGGACAUGUCUUCUGAGGAGCCACUCAUAGCCACUUGCUCAUGGAUGGAACUUCAAGCUCCAGAUGACUGAGCGGUGAAGACCAUAUGCUCUAGGACUACCUGCAAUCCAGCAAGCAAGAUGGCCGGACUGCAGUCUAGAAACUUUCAAGUCAAAAGAAACGAGUUACCAUAAGCUGAUUGAACCAUGCCUGUCCGUGAGCCUCUUUCCCUUCCCCAGGAACGAGAUGUGAAGCAGGAGUCUGCAGCUAUGCUGAUAUGUAUAUAGUGGAGAAGAUCCGAGUCUUCCUGGAAAGUUCUUGUGGGAUAGUAACUGUUAGGACACUAGCUAUCUGAGCAAAGGAUCAUCUUGUCAAAAGAAUGUCUUCCAAUUGCCUUUGAAUUCUGCAUCCUUUAAGUAAAGCCAUUGCAUCAGGAUUCAAAGCAGUUUUUAGAAAGCAAACGAUUUCUAUAUCAUACAUCUUCUUUUUCUUGGUUAUUUUGAAGAUGUAGCUCUUGAAUUUAAAAAAUAUGCCUUGUCUAAGUUAAGGAAGGAAUCUUACAAUGGUCACUUCUAAAUAUAAAGCAUAAACUCUUUUAUUGUACACUUUAUAACAGUCAAAUCUAAGAACCUAAAUAACGAGAAACAAGAAUUACUAAGACACCUGAUUUAAACUGAAUGUUUUAACUAUUCUUUGGCUUAGAUUAUUUUCUUUUCUCUUUUUGUUAUGUCUCUGAAUUAAAAAAGACAAUGAGAGGCCAGGAAAAAUGAAAAAAGUGCUACCAAGAUGUGACAAGCAGUCAUGCAAACAAGAAUUGUUCACUUUCUUGGAAAAUAAAAAAUAAAAAAAACUUACUCCUCAAUGCUCAAAUAUCCUGAUGUGCCAAGAUUAUCAGAAUAUUUAAGCAAUGAAGCAAUUCUAGUAACUAGGUCAGAAAUCAGAAGGGAUAGUUAAUGGCUAUCUCUUGAAGGUGUUGAUGUUGUAAAGGUAUACCUAGUAACAUAUUCAAAACUUUACAUAGAUAUUUGUUAUAGAUUGAACAUGUUUUGCCAUC
Rattus norvegicus (Norway rat) is the source of this 8593-nucleotide non-coding RNA. NCBI's taxonomy places the organism in Eukaryota, Metazoa, Chordata, Mammalia, Rodentia, Muridae. The record is from RefSeq and is a predicted model, not a curated record.